GAAGUGCGAAUGCUGACAUAAGUAACGAUAAAGCGGGUGAAAAGCCCGCUCGCCGGAAGACCAAGGGUUCCUGUCCAACGUUAAUCGGGGCAGGGUGAGUCGACCCCUAAGGCGAGGCCGAAAGGCGUAGUCGAUGGGAAACAGGUUAAUAUUCCUGUACUUGGUGUUACUGCGAAGGGGGGACGGAGAAGGCUAUGUUGGCCGGGCGACGGUUGUCCCGGUUUAAGCGUGUAGGCUGGUUUUCCAGGCAAAUCCGGAAAAUCAAGGCUGAGGCGUGAUGACGAGGCACUACGGUGCUGAAGCAACAAAUGCCCUGCUUCCAGGAAAAGCCUCUAAGCAUCAGGUAACAUCAAAUCGUACCCCAAACCGACACAGGUGGUCAGGUAGAGAAUACCAAGGCGCUUGAGAGAACUCGGGUGAAGGAACUAGGCAAAAUGGUGCCGUAACUUCGGGAGAAGGCACGCUGAUAUGUAGGUGAAGUCCCUUGCGGAUGGAGCUGAAAUCAGUCGAAGAUACCAGCUGGCUGCAACUGUUUAUUAAAAACACAGCACUGUGCAAACACGAAAGUGGACGUAUACGGUGUGACGCCUGCCCGGUGCCGGAAGGUUAAUUGAUGGGGUCAGCGCAAGCGAAGCUCUUGAUCGAAGCCCCGGUAAACGGCGGCCGUAACUAUAACGGUCCUAAGGUAGCGAAAUUCCUUGUCGGGUAAGUUCCGACCUGCACGAAUGGCGUAAUGAUGGCCAGGCUGUCUCCACCCGAGACUCAGUGAAAUUGAACUCGCUGUGAAGAUGCAGUGUACCCGCGGCAAGACGGAAAGACCCCGUGAACCUUUACUAUAGCUUGACACUGAACAUUGAGCCUUGAUGUGUAGGAUAGGUGGGAGGCUUUGAAGUGUGGACGCCAGUCUGCAUGGAGCCGGCCUUGAAAUACCACCCUUUAAUGUUUGAUGUUCUAACGUGGACCCGUGAUCCGGGUUGCGGACAGUGUCUGGUGGGUAGUUUGACUGGGGCGGUCUCCUCCUAAAGAGUAACGGAGGAGCACGAAGGUUGGCUAAUCCUGGUCGGACAUCAGGAGGUUAGUGCAAUGGCAUAAGCCAGCUUGACUGCGAGCGUGACGGCGCGAGCAGGUGCGAAAGCAGGUCAUAGUGAUCCGGUGGUUCUGAAUGGAAGGGCCAUCGCUCAACGGAUAAAAGGUACUCCGGGGAUAACAGGCUGAUACCGCCCAAGAGUUCAUAUCGACGGCGGUGUUUGGCACCUCGAUGUCGGCUCAUCACAUCCUGGGGCUGAAGUAGGUCCCAAGGGUAUGGCUGUUCGCCAUUUAAAGUGGUACGCGAGCUGGGUUUAGAACGUCGUGAGACAGUUCGGUCCCUAUCUGCCGUGGGCGCUGGAGAACUGAGGGGGGCUGCUCCUAGUACGAGAGGACCGGAGUGGACGCAUCACUGGUGUUCGGGUUGUCAUGCCAAUGGCACUGCCCGGUAGCUAAAUGCGGAAGAGAUAAGUGCUGAAAGCAUCUAAGCACGAAACUUGCCCCGAGAUGAGUUCUCCCUGACCCUUUAAGGGUCCUGAAGGAACGUUGAAGACGACGACGUUGAUAGGCCGGGUGUGUAAGCGCAGCGAUGCGUUGAGCUAACCGGUACUAAUGAACCGUGAGGCUUAACCUU
This 1660-nucleotide ribosomal RNA is filed under the name Escherichia coli. Its description in RNAcentral is "partial 23S ribosomal RNA". It matches the Rfam family "Bacterial large subunit ribosomal RNA", at positions 1285 to 2925 of the family's 2925-position model. RNAcentral also lists the same sequence under 1 other name. Lineage: Bacteria; Pseudomonadati; Pseudomonadota; Gammaproteobacteria; Enterobacterales; Enterobacteriaceae. The record is from RNAcentral.